Long non-coding RNA from Limulus polyphemus (Atlantic horseshoe crab), 1316 nucleotides. RefSeq lists it as uncharacterized. The record is from RefSeq and is a predicted model, not a curated record. NCBI's taxonomy places the organism in Eukaryota, Metazoa, Arthropoda, Merostomata, Xiphosura, Limulidae. The transcript has 2 exons.
UCCAAAAUUAACUGCAAAUCUAAACAACCCGGUAUAGAAUCUGGAGGGUACAGCCAAAAGACUCAGCUCGGGACGAUACAGUUACUUCUUCAUGGUUUGAUGUUAGACCGGGGUGACUAUGUUCCAUCAUAGGAUACAAAAACAUCAAAUAUGCUCAACAAAGGAGAAACUAUAGCGAGUGAAAUCGAACAACUUACAGAGGAUAAAUAUGCACUGUAAUAAUUAUUCUUGCUGGGUGUUGUUGAGGAUAAAGUGUAUGGUGAUUCUACAACAGUUUAGAGAUGGAAUUAUAAACUACAUAAGAAGUCAAACUGGUGAUUAGAAAUACAUCUUAUCAAUCUGCAGUUCUAAAGCAACCAAAUAAGCUUCCCUUACACCAAGUUUUCCUUCCAGUGAUUAAUUACUACUUCAUGUUCUCCGGUCAAAUGAAUCGUCGAUCAACACUGAAAAGGUGAAAUUAUUCCAUGAGCCACAGUUCUUCAAAAAACAACACAAGCAGAAAACUAUAGAGCUGUCUCUGUCCCACAGAAAAAGGACUUAUAACAAGGAAGAUGAAGCAUGCAUUGUUGUUGGGGCCACACACCAGUGAACCAGUGAGAAAUGUCCAGAAGAUCAUUUUUUUUUUUAUAUAAGGUGCAGCCCUGCAAUCCACCAAAUACUCAGGUCACUUAGUCUUUAAACUCUGACCAAAGCACUGAUCCAUAGCCUAUUUUGUUUGUUAUGUAAGCCUGUCCAGAUACACCUUGCAUGAUUGAAAUGCACAUGGAAGAGACACAGUCAUUAGCUGAGCUCUCCUAACCAGUACUACAUCACCACCAACUGGAACAGAAGAUGUAAAAGCUGAAGAAGAAUGCUGGUGAUCGUUCUUCAGAUAAAGUAUCCUCCCACUUGAAGCAGCUAAGUUGCAAUCAACACCAGGUACCACGAUCCUGCAAGUUUGAGUUCCACCCUAAGACAAGACUAACCAGAGCUUAUCACGCCAAUUCACUACAAGUAUGGGAAGUCAUUUUCCUAGUUAGCACUUAUAAGUUAAGUAAAGUAUUUGUUACAACUGUGGCUGUUCAGUUGCCCGAUAAGAAUCAUCAGGUUCCAUCCCACUCUAGUGCCAUACAGCAGGAAGGACAUCAAUGACAAGGCACAGGAUAUGUGGCAUCAACUAAAUUAAACUAGCUGGCCUCAGUGUGGAAAGGUGCAGUUAUCACUGCAUUAUAACAUAAUGUUGUUUGUUCAGUACAAGCUAGUUUGAGUGUGGUUUGGUAUGUACCUUUGGUCAUACAUAUAUGUUAUUGUGGACAAUAAAGCUGAGAGAAUUUUGA